This 465-nucleotide ribosomal RNA is filed under the name uncultured bacterium. RNAcentral's name for it is "partial 16S ribosomal RNA". It matches the Rfam family "Bacterial small subunit ribosomal RNA", at positions 28 to 507 of the family's 1533-position model. The record is from RNAcentral.
GACGAACGCUGGCGGCGUGCUUAACACAUGCAAGUCGAACGGAAAGGCCCUGCUUGCAGGGUACUCGAGUGGCGAACGGGUGAGUAACACGUGGGUGAUCUGCCCUGCACUUCGGGAUAAGCCUGGGAAACUGGGUCUAAUACCGGAUAGGAGCCAUUUUUAGUGUGAUGGUUGGAAAGUUUUUUCGGUGUAGGAUGAGCUCGCGGCCUAUCAGCUUGUUGGUGGGGUAAUGGCCUACCAAGGCGGCGGCGGGUAGCCGGCCUGAGAGGGUGGACGGCCACAUUGGGACUGAGGUACGGCCCAGACUCCUACUGGAGGCAGCAGUGCGGAAUAUUGCACAAUGGGCGCAAGCCUGAUGCAGCGACGCUGCGGGUGGUAUGACGGCCUUAUGGUUGUAAACUCCUUUCGCUAGGGACGAAGCUUUUUGUGACGGUACCUAGAUAAGAAGCACCGGCUAACUACGUG